RNAcentral lists this ribosomal RNA (497 nucleotides) under uncultured bacterium. Its description in RNAcentral is "partial 16S ribosomal RNA". It matches the Rfam family "Bacterial small subunit ribosomal RNA", at positions 28 to 507 of the family's 1533-position model. The record is from RNAcentral.
GAUGAACGCUGGCGGCGUGCCUAAUACAUGCAAGUCGAGCGAACAGACGAGGAGCUUGCUCCUCUGACGUUAGCGGCGGACGGGUGAGUAACACGUGGAUAACCUACCUAUAAGACUGGGAUAACUUCGGGAAACCGGAGCUAAUACCGGAUAAUAUAUUGAACCGCAUGGUUCAAUAGUGAAAGACGGUUUUGCUGUCACUUAUAGAUGGAUCCGCGCCGCAUUAGCUAGUUGGUAAGGUAACGGCUUACCAAUGCAACGAUGCGUAGCCGACCUGAGAGGGUGAUCGGCCACACUGGAACUGAGACACGGUCCAGACUCCUACGGGAGGCAGCAGUAGGGAAUCUUCCGCAAUGGGCGAAAGCCUGACGGAGCAACGCCGCGUGAGUGAUGAAGGUCUUUGGAUCGUAAAACUCUGUUAUUAGGGAAGAACAAAUGUGUAAGUAACUAUGCACGUCUUGACGGUACCUAAUCAGAAAGCCACGGCUAACUACGUG